This 247-nucleotide long non-coding RNA is filed under the name Gossypium barbadense (sea-island cotton). RNAcentral describes it as "long non-coding RNA (GBAR_LNC009105)". Lineage: Eukaryota; Viridiplantae; Streptophyta; Magnoliopsida; Malvales; Malvaceae. The record is from RNAcentral.
CAUGAAAGCAUUAGUUGACCUAGGGUUUAGGACAACGACAACCCUAAAUCUAUAAAUAAGCUUAUUUAACACUUGUUGGGGACAAAUUUUCAUACUUUAAGUUUUCCUUUGUAAUUUCAGUUUUUAGUUUUUAUUUCUUUUUGGUUUUCAGUUUACUUUUAGUUCUUUUUCUUUUAUGUUCUUUGAAAACGUUAUUUGUAAAUGUAAUGAAACACUAGUGGAUUUUUUGGCGCUUCAUCUAUCAAAC